GCCUACGAAAUUAUAUAUAUGUAUCUGCACUGGGAAAAUACCCAGCUAUGCUUAAGCAAAAACUACUUCGUGAUCAAUUACUUUUAUUUAAUACUUUUAGUUUAACAGACUUGAAAUAUGGAGGUUCUCGGUUUGACUUCUAUUUCUUUGCGAUUAUAUAGCUCACGUUUUUUUGAACGGAUUUGGAUGCGGUUUUCACAUCGGGUUUUCAGCGCAGUAUUUGACAGAUUUAGAAGGCAAAGGGAAUCUGGCCAUGGUCGCUGGGAAGCAGUGGAUGCGGGUUGCUGAAGAUCGAGAAAAGUGGUGAAACUUGUUGGAGGCUUUUGUCCAGCAGUGGCGUCUUGCGGCUGACACGACGAUGACGAACUUUAAUUUUUUAUAAUAAGGUUUUGACAUAACAGAACUGUAUAUUUUAUCUUUAUUAACAAAAGCCUUAGAAGAUGCUGUAUAAAUUAUAUUCUAACGUUCCCAGAUUAUUAUGGACAUAAUUAUUGGCAUUUACAACACCAGUGUACUUAGUUUGUACACCUGCGUAUUCCAUUCAUGCGGAGCAACAAGUUGCCAUGUUCGGUGCAUAGAACUUACUUGGUAUUUACUUAAUUGUGUCGCAACUAACUAUUGUUUAUGGUCAUCGACGUCAUUAGAAGCGUUCCAGAUAUGGGACAAACGUUUCAUAAUAGCUGGUAAAUGGACUGGAUUAUUAUACAUAGUUCUGGA
Long non-coding RNA from Helicoverpa zea (corn earworm), 717 nucleotides. RefSeq lists it as uncharacterized. NCBI's taxonomy places the organism in Eukaryota, Metazoa, Arthropoda, Insecta, Lepidoptera, Noctuidae. The record is from RefSeq and is a predicted model, not a curated record. The transcript has 2 exons.